This 496-nucleotide ribosomal RNA is filed under the name uncultured bacterium. Its description in RNAcentral is "partial 16S ribosomal RNA". It matches the Rfam family "Bacterial small subunit ribosomal RNA", at positions 28 to 506 of the family's 1533-position model. The record is from RNAcentral.
GAUGAACGCUGGCGGCGUGCCUAAUACAUGCAAGUCGAGCGAACAGAUGAGGAGCUUGCUCCUCUGACGUUAGCGGCGGACGGGUGAGUAACACGUGGAUAACCUACCUAUAAGACUGGGAUAACUUCGGGAAACCGGAGCUAAUACCGGAUAAUAUAUUGAACCGCAUGGUUCAAUAGUGAAAGACGGUUUUGCUGUCACUUAUAGAUGGAUCCGCGCCGCAUUAGCUAGUUGGUAAGGUAACGGCUUACCAAGGCAACGAUGCGUAGCCGACCUGAGAGGGGGAUCGGCCACACUGGAACGGAGAAACGGUCCAGACUCCUACGGAAGGCAGCGGUAGGGAAUCUUCCGCAAUGGGCGAAAGCCUGACGGAGCAACGCCGCGUGAGUGAUGAAGGUCUUCGGAUCGUAAAACUCUGUUAUUAGGGAAGAACAAAUGUGUAAGUAACUAUGCACGUCUUGACGGUACCGAAUCAGAAAGCCACGGCUAACUACGU